RNAcentral lists this ribosomal RNA (927 nucleotides) under Bifidobacterium simiarum. Its description in RNAcentral is "Bacterial large subunit ribosomal RNA". It matches the Rfam family "Bacterial large subunit ribosomal RNA", at positions 1895 to 2822 of the family's 2925-position model. Lineage: Bacteria; Bacillati; Actinomycetota; Actinomycetes; Bifidobacteriales; Bifidobacteriaceae. The record is from Rfam by way of RNAcentral.
UCGGGUGAAGCGGUGAAUUCAAGCCCCGGUAAACGGCGGUGGUAACUAUAACCAUCCUAAGGUAGCGAAAUUCCUUGUCGGGUAAGUUCCGACCUGCACGAAUGGCGUAACGACUUCCCCACUGUCUCGGCCAGGAGCUCGGCGAAAUUGCAGUACGAGUAAAGAUGCUCGUUAAGCGCAGAAGGACGAAAAGACCCCGGGACCUUUACUAUACCUUGGUAUUGUCGUUAGGUGUGGACUGUGUAGCAUAGGCGGGAGGCUUCGAAGCGGGUGCGCCAGCAUUCGUGGAGCCGUCAUUGAAAUACCGCUCUGUCCUCAUCUGGCGUCUAACCUCGAUGUGUCAUCCGCAUCAGGGACAGUGCCUGGCGGGUAGUUUAACUGGGGCGGUUGCCUCCCAAAGAGUAACGGAGGCGCUCAAAGGUCCGCUCAGCCCGGUUGGCAAUCGGGUGUCGAGUGUAAUCGCACAAGCGGGCUUGACUGUGAGAACGACGGUUCGAGCAGGGACGAAAGUCGGAGAUAGUGAUCCGGUGCCGGCGCACGGGCGCGGCAUCGCUCAACGGAUAAAAGGUACCCCGGGGAUAACAGGCUGAUCAUUCCCAAGAGUCCAUAUCGACGGGAUGGUUUGGCACCUCGAUGUCGGCUCGUCGCAUCCUGGGGCUGGAGCAGGUCCCAAGGGUUCGGCUGUUCGCCGAUUAAAGCGGCACGCGAGCUGGGUUCAGAACGUCGUGAGACAGUUUGGUCUCUAUCCUCUGCGCUCGUUGGAAUCUUGAGGAGUCCUGCCCAUAGUACGAGAGGACCUGGGUGGACGAACCUCUGGUAUGCCGGUUGUCACGCCAGUGGCAUGGCCGGUUGGCUACGUUCGGAUGGGAUAACCGCUGAAAGCAUCUAAGCGGGAAGCCUUCUCCAAGAUAAGGAUUCCUUCACGCC